UUGGGGCUCGAUCGUCAUGCCCUGUCAUCCACGGUGACGUGAAGUCGUGGGAAAGCAACAGCGGCGCGACACGGGAACCGGGAACCGGGAACCGGGAACGAUUCCCAAUGAUUCAUCAGGGCUUCUGGGAACUGCUAACGUGCAGUGAACUCUUUUCACACAUUUUACCGGGAAACAGAAACGUUUGACGUGGUCAACAUAGCCUACAUGUGAUCUAACGUGUUUAUCUUUGACAAGCAUUUAGAAAACAAAUACAUAAUCGUAGCAUUCAUGCAACGAUCGUAUCCCUGUCUUCGCUCAGGUGGACUUUAUGUAGACACAGUGUCUGCAUUUAUGAUUUCAUCUCCCCAGGCGAAUUGACAAUUAAACAAAUAGGACAUAGCCUACAACGAGUCCAGACGUCUUCAACAUCAUUUUCAGUUCGCAGCCGAAGCGCUGAGGAUGCAGCAUUUUCUGCAGGUUUACAGUUCUGCAGAACGACGAGGGAUUAUGUCUAACCCCGCCAUGAAGGCUAAAGAGCCCCAUCUCUCCAACAACAAGAAAGCUUGCCGAAGAGCAUUUUGAUCAUCCUGUGAUGCGCCGCUGUGUGACAGCUCUCAGACACAGAUAUUUAGUUUCCCACUCAAAGAACCCCAACUCAGGAGAUUAGUGGAGAAACUUCUGAGUCUGACACUGAAAUAUUGUUUUUCAAUGCAAUCAGCCUGACCACUAUCUACACGACAUGUCUGUUUGUGAAUGUGAGUGCGCCUUUUAGAUUUUUUUUCUUUUUUCUCAUCUUCUCUCCUUUCUCUUUUGCUGGAUUUAUGCUUUCCCUCUCUUCUCAAAGUCAGACCAAGGUUUACUAAGAGGUCUGAAUCAGCCAGUAUUUUCUUUUUAAAAGUACGUUUUGAUCCGUAUGAAAAGAAGAAUAGCGGCAGUUUUGGAAAAUCCAUUUGAAAAGGAAGAAAAAAAACAGAAAAAGUAAAGUUAAAAGCAAGUCUUGCAUCUGGGUAUUUGGUGCUACUGAAAGCAGUGGAAGCAUAUUAUAUUUCAUAUCCAGAUCUAAGUACAUUAUGUGUUGAUUAAAAUACAAAUAUUUGACCCGAGAGAAUGUGCUGUCUUAAUUAAAAAUAUCAGGAUCGAGGUUUGUACUCAACUAAAAUAACUUGAAAUUGUAUAACACCUUGUUUAUUUUGGCAGGACAAUACUGAAAAUAACUUGUCAUUAAUUGUAAUAAUCAAAUUGAAAUUGACAAGUGCUUUACCGUAAAUAAAUCAUGGGAAGGACACCUCUAGUCCACUCAAAAGGAAACAUUUGUGCAUGAGUUUAAAGGGCAAUAUAAGGCUCUUGUAAAAGUGUGUACAGGUGUUUUAAUUCCCACAGUAAAUUCCUGAGGGCUUGAGCAGACCUGUCGGGUUGAACCCAGACCAGAUGUUGCACAGAAGAGUCAGAUGUUCAAGUGGCUAUAAGAAACCCAUCUGCGUGGAAAAAAUUUGGAAAACAUCAACACCAUAUGAUUAUAAAUGCUUUUUAUUUCACUCACGAGAUGCUCGGCCAACAGCAGCCACAACACACUGAAUUACUGUGUGACAAACAGUGGAAAUAACAGCUUGGAGGAAUUAUCACACACUUGAAGUGGCUCCCCUAAAGAUCUAAUAUGGCCCCCUGGUGAGCCAAGUGAAUACUGACUGCUAUGUGUUUUUAUUUAACGAUAUUUGUUUUAUUUAAAAUGAAGAUUAAAGCCCCCGUGUUUGAUACUACUAUAAUAAUAACACCUUCUGCCCAAUGCUGUUCUUCCAAACACAGACUGGGCAGCUGCAGGAAGUUGGACCCACAGCUAAUAAACCUGUCUACCAUUAUAAAUCAAUAUAACUUGU
Molecule: long non-coding RNA, 1856 nt
Organism: Pseudoliparis swirei
Lineage: Eukaryota; Metazoa; Chordata; Actinopteri; Perciformes; Liparidae
Exons: 2
Source: RefSeq, a predicted model, not a curated record